Nycticebus coucang (slow loris) is the source of this 328-nucleotide long non-coding RNA. RefSeq lists it as uncharacterized. The transcript has 3 exons. The record is from RefSeq and is a predicted model, not a curated record. NCBI's taxonomy places the organism in Eukaryota, Metazoa, Chordata, Mammalia, Primates, Lorisidae.
CGCGGCAAAUGAAAUGGAUGCUUUACACUUAGGGGUGUGUAUGGCUCCAAGUAUUAUAUGGCAUCCUUCUGCAAGCAGAGAAGAAAUGACCUCUGCAGAAAAGCUUGUGGAAUUUGUGAUUAAAAACUGCCGCAACAUCUUUGGAGGACACGUCACUGCCCUGUUUGGAGAGUCAUCCGGAAUAUAAAAUACUCAGGAUAAACCCUCAGAUACAUCUAGCUUUCCAGAGAGCAAUACUUCCUCAUGUGAGAGCUUGAAGAAAAAAGCGACUGUGCUGCUGGCCCACAGUGUGAUGAAUCAAAGAAAAUCGUCCAAUUAAAUUGAAGCA